UCCCACUUUCAAAUAAGGUGAUCCUAGUUUUCCUGUUUGGGAAUAUGACAGCUUCAUAAUCAUUCUAAUCAAACCAGGAUGAAUUGCGAUGUAAGAAGCUUGAUUUUGAUACAUAAAGUAAUGGAGAAUCACUAGGAAGUUGAAUAAAUCUCAUAGGAGUUAGGAUGAAGAAGCUAUCCCACUUUCAAAUCAGGUGAUCUCAGUUUUCCUGUUUGGGAAUAUGACAGCUUUCUUGUCAUUCUAAUCAAACCAGGAUGAAUCGCGAUGUAAGAAGCUUGAUUUUGAUAUAUAAAGUAAUGGAGAAUCACUAGGAAGUUGAAUAAAUCUCAUAGGAGUUAGGAUGAAGAAGCUAUCCCACUUUCAAAUCAGGUGAUCCCAGUUUUCCUGUUUGGGAAUAUGACAACUUCCUUGUCAUUCUAAUCAAACCAGGAUGAAUCACGAUGUAAGAAGCUUGAUUUUGAUAUAUAAAGUAAUGGAGAAUCACUAGGAAGUUGAAUAAAUCUCAUAGGAGUUAGGAUGAAGAAGCCAUCUCACUUUCAAAUCAGGUGAUCCCAGUUUUCCUGUUUGGGAAUAUGACAGCUUCCUU
This 586-nucleotide long non-coding RNA is filed under the name Brassica napus (rape). RNAcentral's name for it is "long non-coding RNA (BNAP_LNC009595)". Lineage: Eukaryota; Viridiplantae; Streptophyta; Magnoliopsida; Brassicales; Brassicaceae. The record is from RNAcentral.